UGACAUACGAUUCAAGUUGUGAGCAAAAGCCUGUAGACUCUAGACCAAUCAGAACGCGUAACUGUCUACAGUCGUUGCACUACUGUAGACUCGACCCCUGCGAAUUUCCCAAAUGUGGAAUUCUCGAUUGCAUAAUUUCUGGUAGUGGGGGACUGCGUUCGCUCUCUCCCCUG
Molecule: small nuclear RNA, 173 nt
Organism: Esox lucius (northern pike)
Lineage: Eukaryota; Metazoa; Chordata; Actinopteri; Esociformes; Esocidae
Gene: U1
Rfam family: U1 spliceosomal RNA
About the family: U1 is a small nuclear RNA (snRNA) component of the spliceosome (involved in pre-mRNA splicing). Its 5' end forms complementary base pairs with the 5' splice junction, thus defining the 5' donor site of an intron.
Source: Ensembl